RNAcentral lists this long non-coding RNA (2199 nucleotides) under Homo sapiens (human). RNAcentral describes it as "HSALNT0385200". Lineage: Eukaryota; Metazoa; Chordata; Mammalia; Primates; Hominidae. The record is from RNAcentral.
UCGUGAUCCGCCCGCCUCAGCCUCCCAAGGUGCUGGGAUUACAGGCAUGAGCCACCAUGCCUGGCUGACACAGUAGGCUUUUAACAAAUACUCAAGAAAUCGCAGUUCUUAGGCAUUUAAGGAACAGAGUUGGAACAAAAUCAAGAUUCAAAAUUAUUUCUCUAAGCCUUCUUUGGGCCACAGUCUACAAAGAGAUUGGGGAAGUAGGCUGUCAGAACUUUAAUGGUUCUGAAAUCACCGAAAAUGAUGUAACUGGAACACUUUCAUUUCACAAGAUUACAGUGUUACAUUUUCUAAAGAAACUGUCAUUUGCCUUCUGAACUAGAAACAGGGAUUUGUAAAAUAAUGUGCAGUGAUGGCGUGGAAAACUAACCAGCAGCACUCCUGAAAUGCUGCCUUCGUGUUCCCCUGGGACUGCUCGCCUCACCCCAAAACUAUUUCUACUGCCUUCCCCUUCCAUGCUACAACUAGUCUCCAAAGGUAGUUUUCUCUACUAACAAAGCAAACAGAUCAUAUGAACGGACAUCAGACUUUCUUAGGAGAUUUCUGAAAAUUCUCUCUUCUGGGGGAAUAAAUUGUGAGCAUUUCGAUUCAAACAUUCCUGAAAGAAUAACCAGGCAACCGAAACACUCAGUGACCUAACUGUGGUAGGCUGGUCACUUCAAACUUAACAGAACAAUAAAACAUAUACUACUUUAUGGCCAAAAAAAAAAAUCUUUUUAAAACAAUAAGUGUGGACAAAGUGUUUUCACAGAUGAAGAGAUGAAGUUCCUGAAAUUUAGGGUUUCAUUUCUCAAGGGUCUCCUUUAAACAAACAAACAGUUAUGAUUUCAAAGUAGACAUGUGCCUUCAACACCAUUUUUAAAAAUUACCAGCCUUAGCAAAGGUGUAGAAAAAACUUGUUCUCAAGCACUGUCCGUGGAAGAAUUAGUAAAACAUUUCUAGAAAACCUGUUACCGUCUUAACAAACUUUUAAACACAUGUAGCAAUUCUACUUCCAGGAACUUAUCUAUUUGCCAAGACAUAUAUGCAAGGAUCUUCCCUAUAGGGUUGUGUAUAAAGGAAAAAUCAGACAGACUAUGCCAGGAGCCCUCUGAAAGAGAAGAGUCAACUGUGGAGGGGGCACCUGUGAAUGAAUCCUGCGGAGCUGCUAACAGAGCAGACUUACACACACAACAUGGUAAAGUUCCAUGACACUGCACACAGGGGAUUACACACACAACAUGACUUUCCUGGGCCUGACUCCCGGACCUGUCCCCAGCGCCUCGCGGCCUCUCGAGCCCCUUCAGUGACCAAGAUGCAGAGAUCAGGACGCCAUUGCACCACCCCAGGUGCCCGCCUCUAGCUGGCUCCGCCUGGGCCCCGAGGGAAGGUGAGGUCGGGGGGGCCGGGCCAGGGCGUGGCAGCCAGGGUGUUUGUCCGCCGGGCUUGCUGCCUCUGGUGGCCCGGCAGCACCGUCCCACCUCUGCCACCCUCCGAUGGGGCCGCUACCUGCGUGCCUGCCAAUCAUGCUGCUCCUGCUGCUGCUGCUGCUGCUGCUGCUUGGACCUGGCCCCAGGUCUGGCGAGGGGUCUGGCGCUGUCGCCCAGGUUGGAAUACAGCGGUGCAAUCUCAACUCACUGCAAACUCCGCCUCCCAGGUUCAAGCAAUUCUCCUGCCUCAGUCUCCUGAGUAGCUGAGAUUACAGAUGCCUGCCACCACACGCAGCUAAUUGGUUGGGUGUGGUGGGGCUUUCCAAUGAUUACUUAUUAAUGAUUACUUAUGAAAAACAACAACAAAAAAGCCAUCUUGAAGCUGCUUUUAAUGAGAGAACAAAUGUGCUCCCAAGCAACAGAGCAGCGAAAUUCUUUAUUACUGGAUUCUAACUUUCCUCUCUAACUGUAACUGUCUCAGCUCCACCUCAUGUGACUUGGAGGGUAUGUUGCAACCUGCGUCUUCACCACCCAUUCAUGAAGAUCUAUAAAACUAAUGUAAACUGCUGGGGCAAUUUCAACAUGAGUCAACUGGAGAUUGUUACUUGGUGAGAAUGCGCAAGUGGCAAAGAUCUAAAUUUGUUCAGCUAAUUUGUAAUUAACCUUCGCUUCUCACAUGUCAGUAUGUGAAGUGUCUGGUUUAAGCAAUUUAUCCAAAAAAGCCAUAGACUCUUUAAAUAACAACAAAACCUGGGCCUGGAAUUUUAUAAAGGCAGAAUGAGUAAGA